CAAUAAAGAUAUUCGAGAGUCUAUGGAGAGUGAAAGGCUGUCUCUAGAAACAGAAAAAGACGACUUGAUAAAACGUGUGAAAGAUUACGAAGAUAAAUAUGCAAAGUUAGAAGAGCAAUAUGAUGUGCUACUGAAGGAAUAUGAAGAUUCAAAAAGACCGCCACCACCUCCACCACCCCCGCCACCACCCCCGAUUACUGCCACUAAAGGAUUUUUAUCAAAAAUUAUAAGAAAAAAGAAACCGGAUAAAGAUAGAUUAAAGUUAGCAGGGGCUAAUGUGAACACUGACUUUAAUAAAGCCUUAGAUGAGAUGAUGGAGAAUAUCAAGAGAGGAAAAACAUUGAAACGUGCACUGAAACCAAUUAAAAGGGAGACACAAGAACCUUUGGGUAGUGGAGAAGAAGGGUCUGGAGAUUAUAGAAUGGUCUUAAAAUCUAAAAGUUUUGAUGAUCAUGCUAAAGAAGAGGAUGUUCCAAAGUCUCCUGGAUCCCCCGGGGAUAAUAAUGCUAUGAAUGAGUUACAUAAUAUUAUGAACAAGAUGAAGAGGACACAUAGUGAGAGCGAAUUGUUGUCACCUGUAGAGGCGGAACACGGAGAAACUGAAUUAGCUCGAGCGUUCAGACGUGUGAAGAAAUCACAUUCUCUAGAUCCUGUUCCCGAUGUACAGAGACGUAACAAGCUGUCAUUGGUAGCAGAAGAAAGAGAGUCUGAAGUUAUUUUACGACGAAAAAAAUGGAAUCAUUAAAACAGAGGUGAUCAGUCUACCUGCCAAGCUUCAUUAAAGCGCUCUAAAAGUGCUGAAGAUGAAGUGUUUAAGAAUACGUGAUCUGGACACUGGAUCAUUUAUACUCGGGCAAACGAUGACGACGUGUGCAAUGUACUUCGCUUCCACUUGUUCAUCGCAAAUGUACGACGGUGAAAUUUUCUGCCAGAGUGGUGCUGCCAUUCAUUGUCCUGCUUCUUAUAUAUAUUUAUUGAAUGUUGUUGUUGUUGUUGUUGCUGUUGUUGUUGUUUUCAUAGUUGUAACAAAUGUAAGAAAAUAUUGUCUACAGUUGUAGUGAAAUUUUGAGAGAGGAGCAUUGUAGGAGGAAAGUUUAAAGCUUAAAUUGUAUGCCAUCAAAUUAUUACUAUUAUUGUGUUAUAAUUCUGUAAAAAAUAAUUGUUGGGGAUAAGUUUAUAUGCUGUGAAUUACAUUAUAGAAUUAUGUUUGAAAAAUUAUUAUAAAAAAUAUAUUUUAAAGAUUUCUUUGUAAUUUAGAAUAACUUUACAAAUAAAGGAAAUUUAUUAGUUUCAGUCCCCAAAAUUAUUAUUAUAAUUGUGAUAUAAAAGUAGCUGUACAACAAGGUAUUUAAGUUAUAUAUUGUAAUCAAUUAAGAACAAAACAUAAGGUAAAUGUAGGAAAGUUUGUUUCAGAUUUUUUCAAGAAAGAUGAAAAUUAAAAUUUUUUAUACCAUAUAAAUCUUAAUAAAUAGAAAUACUUUAUUUGUCAAUGAUACCUCUUUUACUGGUUAUAUGAUUUAAAAAAUUUGAGAAGUUAAAAAGCCACUUAGAUUGGGCACCGAGAAACAUUUUAUUAUAUAAUAUUUUAUUAUAUAUUACAUUUUGUUCCAGAUUAAAUGUUCUAGUGGCAAUGCUAAUUCAUAGUCUGCAAUUUUCAUGUAAUAUUGUUGUUUUCAUAUCACCCCUUUAUCAGAUUUUUACAUUGGAUAGUUGAUAUAGUUACAAACUGUAAAAUGUUAAAUUAUCAAUGAUAUAAUUCAUAUGUAGAGCUUCAAUGAUAUAUUCAUUUUGCUUAGAAAUUGUGAUGUUAAUGUUGGUUGUUUUGUUUUUGUUGUUAUGUCUUCAUUUUGUUUUUGUUUUUUUCAAAGAAAUUCUUAUACAUUAUAAAAUAUUGUUAUUUUUUUUUGCAUUUACAAACUAGUUUUGAUGUAUGUUGCCUCGAACAAGGCCCAUUUAGUGAUUGCACAGUACAUGUAUUUCUCUUUUGUCAGUUUGUUUUCAGCUCCACAAAGUAAAAUGUGGGUUUUAAGGUUUCAGGUCCACAAAGUAAAAUGUUGGUUUUAAGGUUUCAGCUCCACAAAGUAAAAUGUUGGUUUUAAGGUUUCUGUUCCACAAAGUAAAAUGUUGGUUUUAAAGUUUCAGCUCCACAAAGUAAAAUGUUGAUUUUAAGGUUUCAGCUCCACAAAGUAAAAUGUUGGUUUUAAGGUUUCAGCUCCACAAAGUAAAAUGUUGGUUUUAAAGUUUCAGUUCCACAAAGUAAAAUGUUGGUUUUAAGGUUUCAGCUCCACAAAGUAAAAUGUUGGUUUUAAGGUUUCAGCUCCACAAGUAAAAUGUUGGUUUUAAGGUUUCAGCUCCACAAAGUAAAAUGUUGGUUUUAAGGUUUCAGCUCCACAAAGUAAAAUGUUGGUUUUAAGGUUUCAGCUCCACAAAGUAAAAUGUGGGUUUUAAAGUUUCAGCUCCACAAAGUAAAAUGUUGGUUUUAAGGUUUUAGCUCCACAAAAGUAAAAUCUUGAUCUGACGUACGUAUAUGAAUGAGAAUAAUCAUGAUUGCUAGUUGUAAGCAAAGUUAUAUUUAGAACGCAGACAUGAGAAAACAACUGUUAAGGUCAUUUUACAAAUGACAUCAAAAAACAUUAACAGUGUCAUUGACAUCAAAAAUAAAAAAGUGAAUUACCCUUGAAAUUUUAAAAAUAAAUAUGAAUAGAUAACGAUGAGAAAAUUUCAGAAGUUUUAUAUUUAUAACAAGAAGAAAUAAAGAAGUAAAUAUCUUAAAGACUUCAAAAUAUCAAUUUAUAAUUAAUUUUAGUGAAUAGCGUUAAAAUGUUGUUUUCUUAUGCAUAUUUAUACUUUAAUUAAGUGAUCGCUAAUUGGUAUUGCGGGAGUAUCAAUGAAUGAUAGUGAAAUCUAUAUUAUUUUUUAUUUUUUUAUUUACAGAUGUUUAUUUUUUAUAACCAUGUAAAACCUUUAAAUUUUUGAAAGUUUAAUUUAUUUAAAGUUUAUAACAAAGUUUAUUAUUUUUUUUAAUGUAUGAUAAAACAAAGUGUCGGACACAAAGGUUUGUAAAUGAACAAAGUUUUUUUUUUACCAGUUUUGUUUUUCAUAGAUAUAUAUUAUCUUUUUUUUGUAAGAUCUCUGAAUGCGUUGUAUGUGUAUGUAAAUAUAUUAUUUUGAUGUUUUUUUAACAUUCCACUUAUUGCAUUUCCCAUUAUUUUUUAUUUCUAAAUGUAUUUAAGAUUUAAGCAACAAAAAAUCAUUCCAUUUUUGUGUUUCAUUAUCUAUGUAAUUCCAAAAGAACUUCUGAAUCACUUUCUAUAAUAUGGUGUAUAUAUGAAUAUAAGGCUAUAUAGAAUGAGGGAUAAAAAAAGUCUUGUGGUUUGAUUGUUAUGAUUAUACAUUUAGGGUAAUUUAGGGAACAAAAAAUAUUUUUAGAAAGUGCAGCAUCCUGCGCAGCUUUGCAUAGUGUGGUACUAAUAGACCUGGGUUCUAUGUUACAUACAUGUAGAAGAAUUACCUCCAAAAUUUGAGUAUCUUUCAGUGAUCUUAAAGUGUAUAAAGCUUUACUAUUAUAAGCUCCUGCAGGGAGGUUUCAAAAUUAAUGUUUGAAUCUUGAAAAGAAUAGUUUCUAAAUACAUAUAUAUAUGAAAGAAAUAUGUUUGUAUAUUUCCUUAAAAUACAUGAAAUCAUUUGCUAAAGGAUUAAAAUCCAGAUUAAAAUAGCUGCCUUAUAUUUUGUUACAGAAUAUUGUUUUUUGUUUACCUACAAUAUUAUGUGUGCUAAAUUUUAAGAGACACUAUGUUACAGUGCUUGCUAGAAUCCAUCAUAAGAUUCUGAAAGUAACAUAAUUUUAACAAAUAUUUCAUAAAAGAGAUAUAGCUUUGUAAUGUAUUUGUAA
RNA transcript from Ruditapes philippinarum (Manila clam), 3892 nucleotides. It is a transcript of the gene named shootin-1-like, with no coding region annotated. The record is from RefSeq and is a predicted model, not a curated record. NCBI's taxonomy places the organism in Eukaryota, Metazoa, Mollusca, Bivalvia, Venerida, Veneridae. The transcript has 12 exons.